GGGUCAGCAAGUUGGUCGUGCCACUGGUAUGCACUGGCUUUGCUGAUUCCUCCUUCUUGUAGAACCGUAAUGCCAUUCAGUUGGUGUUGCGGGGAAACAGGACUUUUACUUUGAAAAAAUUAGAGUGUUUAAAGCAGGCAUUCGCUUGAAUACAUUAGCAUGGAAUAAUAAAAUAGGACU
Molecule: ribosomal RNA, 180 nt
Filed under: uncultured Glomeromycotina
Lineage: Eukaryota; Fungi; Glomeromycota
Description: partial small subunit ribosomal RNA
Rfam family: Eukaryotic small subunit ribosomal RNA (bases 39-180)
Source: RNAcentral